This is a long non-coding RNA of Passer domesticus (house sparrow), 6469 nucleotides long. RefSeq lists it as uncharacterized. NCBI's taxonomy places the organism in Eukaryota, Metazoa, Chordata, Aves, Passeriformes, Passeridae. The record is from RefSeq and is a predicted model, not a curated record. The transcript is spliced from 2 exons.
CUCCCGGCGGGGCGGGGGGCUCGCCUGAGGGUUUUCCUCCCCCUUUUUUCUCCUUACCCUUCCCCCCCCCCCCUUUAUUUAUUUUUCUCCGUUUCCUUUCUCUUCUUUUUUUUUCUCUCUUCUUUCUUCUCCCUUUCCCCCGUGAUACUUUCUCCCCUCUUCUCCUUGGUUUCCCUCCUUGCCCUUUUUUCUUUAUUCCAUUUUUUGUUUUACUUCCCCCCUUUCAAUUUUCUUUUUUUCCUUGUUCUUAUUUGCUUUUUUUAUCCCUUUACACCUGUUUACUCUUUUUUUACCCCCCCUUUUUCUUCCCAUUUUCUGCCUUUUUUAUUUUGUUUUCCCCUCUUUCCUCUUGUUUCCUCCUUCCCCCCCACCCUUUUCUUUUUUUUUUAUUUUUCUUCCUUCCCCUCCCCCCAUAUUUUUUGUAGGGUCGGUGUGGGUUUUUUCCCUCUCCUGCUUUGUUUCUUCUUUUCUUUUUUUUUUUUUCUUUUUUUUUUUUUUUCCUUGCAUUUCCGACAGCCAACCAAGAACCAGCUGGUACAGAUUUAACCCGCUCCAAUCCCAUCUCCCACCGUGGAAAACUGACCACAGCCAAGCCGCUGGACUGCCCGCCAAUUCCCAUUGCUGCUUCCCGGGGAACAGGCGCAGCAGAAAGGGGUUGCGCCUUUGAGCUCUUCAAAUGAGUAACCCUGGGAAGGGCAGAGAGCCGGCAGAUGAAAGGCAAGGUACGGACUUUGAUCGUGCAAUCGGAGCCAUGCGGGCAGGCUCCCGAGACAUGUGGAGCACCCCUGAAGGUCAGCCUGGGCUGAUCAGAUUGCAGCAAGAGAGCCACAGAAAGCAGGGCAAACGGAGGUGGAAAAAUCUAUACACCCAGGUAUCUGCCAAGAGAUGAAAGAAAAGUUUGCCUCUGAUGCUGGGAUUUAUGAAUAAGAUCAGCUGGCUGCACAACACCAUCCCUAGGAAUGAAUACGUUUCAUGAGGAAGAAAGAGCACAUGGAAAAGCGAUUGCUUUGCUACUCCUAAACUCUGGAAUUCUCUUGAUGUGCUGUUACAAGCCAGAAAAGAUCACAGAGAGCACUGCAUACAUACAUACAUACAUAUGCUUUAUCCAGUGAUCCCCUUUGAAGGAAACCUGAAAAAGGCUGCAGAUGAUGUACACAUUUCAGCUAUUAAAGGUCAUGGAUAAGACAGCUAUUUAUUAGUUCAAAUAAGGUCAGUGUUACAUCCAGGGGCAGAGAGCUCUGCCUGUUGCACAAAUGACACUGCCUGCCCUUAAUGCCCUGAGAAACUUUUGACAAGCUAAGCAUAUGUAACAAGCCACAAACCUUACAUCCAACUGCUGCAGUUCUUUAAUGUUUAUUAUCUGAAAAUGGGUUCCAUUUCUGUAUCCCAGCACAUUUCCUCUCCUCCAAGUUCUCCACUGGUGAUUUCUGACAAAGAAAUUGUAUCCCCUGAUGGAGAAGGAAUGCUUACUAACUAGUAAAUUGGUGGUUGUGGCUCUUCCCAAGAACCAUUCUCCUUUGCUGCUAUUUUGGAACGUUCUACCCCACAUACUAAACUAUUGGUUCGUUUACUUUCUUUAUACACACAGAAAAAUGGACCUUGGUAAACAAUUUGUGCCAGUUUUAGACUUCUACUGGAGCUAAAAUCAGGGUCUUGGUUGAAUUCCGUAACACACAGUUUUGGAGGAAAACACUGUUAUGUAACUCUUCUUUUUCCCUUUCUGGAAGACAACCUUGGUGGAAGAGCACUGAGAAGCAGUGAAAUCUUGUGCAGGUCUUGAGACAGAUGGCAAAGUAGGAGGGCAGAAGGUUACCUUAAGGUCAGGGUGUUUCCCAUCCUUAUUAGGUAUAAUCCAAAUGCAACAGGCGGGCAGAAACACUUCUGCUACAUUCACCUCCAAGAAACUUCUCACUUGAAGUAAUUUGCCCUGCUAAAUCCUGAACUAAAGGCAGUAUCUUCUUCCUGGAAGGCUUGUUAUUAUAAACAAAUAAUAACAUCUGUUCCUAAAUAACCAAUCUACCUUUCCAGAAUGAAAGGUCUCACCCUGCUCCUAUACUUCGCAUGGAAAGUGGUCAAAAGAGCCGAAGUUUGAAACCCGGACACCACAACUUCGCUGAUGUGUCUCACUCAGCCCUUCAAACAGGAGAGCAAACUCAGGAACUAGUAGGUUGGAUCUUAGAACCAUUUAGUCAUUUUAGUUAGAAAUACCUCUAAGAUCAUCGAGUCCAACUGCUAACAUGGUGCUGACAAGUCCACCAUGAACUAUGUCCCUAAGUGCCUUGUAUACACACCUUUUAAAAACCUUCAGGGAUGGUGACUCAACCACUUCCCUAGGCAGUCGGUUUGAAUGAUGAAGAAUCAUUUUGUUCUUUCAUUCUAAACCCAACUGAAUAUAAAAUUGUCAUAGAAACAUUAAGAGAAGGCCGUGAUCAUGCUGCAAAAAAGCCCCAAAGUGCAGUCAGCUGUCCACCGAUAGUGAAAUUAACCAUGAACUUUACAGAAUGACUCCUUGGAUGAAUGUUGUUAUAUUAUAAGGGCAAAAAGGGGAAAAAUUAGAUGUUAAAGUCUUUCUCACUGUUCUCACAGCUUAAAUACCUAUGGGCACUAAAUCAACACAAGUACGAUGAUGAAAUUAGUAAGUAAACAACUACAACCUUCACUGCUGCACAAAGAAGUUUGAAAUCAGAGAUCAAUAUGAAUGAUCCCAAUUCCAAAUUUGUAAGCCAAAUCUAGAAGAAAAUGUCUCCUUAUGUGAGAGCAUAGUGGAGCCCAAAUGGCUUCAAGAAAAAGCAUACAUGAACCACUCUCCUCUGUAAAGGCUCAAAACUGGAUGCUCAAGUUAACCACCCGUGAGUUUUCCCACAGAAGCAGGACCUUGAUCAGUGUUACUGCUGGCACCAGAUUCCCUGCAAUGACCUGGUAGCAUGUGAUUACCACAUAAGCUUCUCUUUCCUCCCCCAAAAACAAGCACAAAAUGAAGGAUGCCAGCAGUCAGUGUCAUUAGCUACUGGAGAUCAUUGCACCUGUAGCUCCCUACAUUUACUUCCUUCUAGGAGGACUAUUUUAACAGUCUACUAAAUAACGUUAACCAGCAAUGAAACAAGAACAGAUUACAAACUGAAGAUCUCAAUUUUGUAAAGCUGAACUCCCAAUCUCUAUCAUUGGAGUAAAAGUCCAAGUGAUGAAAUAAACCUUGAACUUUGUUGCUUUACUCAUCAUUUUUUGAAACAAAAGAGCACCUUGUCCCAGACACUGCAAUUUAGCAACUUCAUCUGUAUACGUGUCAGAAAGAGGGAGCAGAAAGCUCCAGCCAGCCAGUAUCCAAACAAGAGCAUUCCCCUGAUCAACAUCACUGACUGGAAUCGCACUUGGAAGGGAUGCACACCAAUGCAGUUACUGUCACACCACCGUUACUCAGUUCCAGGCAGGAAGCUGUGCCCAACCCUGUGGUCUCAAAAAGUGGGCCACAUGAGCAGAAACCAAUCAUCUAGGUACAAAAUGAGUGGGAGAAUGAAAAGGAGGAGCUAUUUACCACCAACAGGUUCAGCAGAACUCAGCCUGUAUCUUCCUGUUAGCUCUCCCAGAAGCAAGUGAGCAGGAAAGAUGACAGAGAAUAGCUUUGAACUGCAACUCACUGGCAGAGGAAAAGGUGGGGGGGUCGUAAGGACCGUAGCCUUCUCAGCUUCCGAAGUCCCCAAAGGAGUAAUGGGUACCUUGUGCAUGUGCACUGGUUGUCUCUCUAAUCUCAGCCACCUCGAUUGUUCCUGAGCACAAAACUCCAUUUCAUUGAAAAAAAAAAGACAACAAAAUCUGUGUAUUCCUGAUGUUGAACAUUCAGCUGCCACAGAAGACAAUGCUGCAGAUACAGGAAAAGAGCAUAUUUAACUAAGUAUUUUUCCCAUUUUUUGUCUAAGGUAAUUCCAAAUAAUGAGCAGGGGGCGGGAAAUUCACUAUGUUACCCAGGUUCACCCUGAAUCAGAUAUAUUAGAAAAAUACUGCAUUUCACUUUAAAUGUGAUGGAAUAAGAAUUCCUACCUGGGCUUGUAAUUAUCUUAACUAGACUUUCCAAUGGUUUUGUCCUAUUACACUCUGAUUUAAACCAGGUAUAACACAAUUUUGAAUCAUAUUUAAACAAGGUACCUCAACCAAUUUAAACUAUAUUUAGAUCCAGUAUUUUUACUGCUAAAGAAACCUAAUAGAGGAACAACAUGCUUAGAACAUCUGUCGCAGUGAUUGAAAGAAGUCUAUGACAGGAAUAGCAAACAGUUAUUUUCUUUCCUGAGAUGGUGUCAAUCUGUUGAAGCAAAGUAUCAGUGAAGUAGAUUGUUUCUAAGAGGUACCUCACUCUGGCCUGUCUUCUCCAAAACAAAGAUGAUUAAAAUACCCCCUUGCUGCAUAACCUUGUCUGCCUGCUUAUUAUUAUUUUCUAUUUCUGUAUCAGGGGAAACACUCUUUGUCAAAGCUAGUAAGCAUGUUACAGCAUUACAUGAAAAAAAAAAUCAUUUGUUCAAGUCUAAAAACCUCCACCUAAUGAAAUUCAAAUUUUAACAGACAUCAACUAUUAUUUACAUUUGGAUUAUCAAAUGUAUGACUCAACACAAUCCCUAAGAUACAGACCUCUAAGCAAGGCUGUCUGUCACACAGCAUUUUCUGCAAUGAUGAUCAGAACCCCAUGUUCUUUAUGACACAACUUUGCAGUUACUUCAUGGAAGAUGAUGACAGAAUGUCUCUCACUCCAUGCUAAUGCUGGUUCUCCACGAUGGAUUUCAAUGUGGUGGUCCAAAUCCAGGUUCUUUCCUGCAACAAAUGUCCUGCCUGCCCAGACCACGCAGAGGUGGAGAAUGAAGCUGAAGAAGGAAGGAGGCACUGGGGUAGUGACUGGGCACCUCUGAGCACUAAAGUAUAGGAAAUGGGAUGUCAAGCAGCAAUGGAAUGACUCACAGGAUUCAUUACAAGUUCUUGGUGUACCACCAUCAUGGGUCCAACUGUGGGGACCCAGCAUACAGUACCUCUGCUGACUGUCAUCAGGCUGAGGUUUCAACCCCAUUGCCCAGUAGCAGCUACACACAUUACUCCCCUGAGCUAGGAUCUACUGGGGUCCUUAAAUCAGGCCCAAAAUACGUGAUCGAGAGUGGCCAGUUACCCCGCAUCACCCGUGUGACUGGCACUAUCAGCACACAGCUAGGGCAGGCACGUCUCUCUUGAGCUCUGAUACAACAAGCCUCGAGGCUCAGUUGGAAGAGCAUAGAUCUGGUAGGCUGCCAACAUGAGAGCAUGGAUGCCUUUAAUAACCAACAACAGCUCUGCAUGACAUGAAGCAAUGCAGCCUGUGACGGGCCCAAGGCGGCCGCGUUUGCAUGGCUUGGGUGUUUCCCACGUGCUUGGUGCUCAGCUUGGUUCAGGAGAGGCAACCAGCAUCAUUACCAGUGUUCUCAGACCAGCCCGGGAAAGGGCUUCUCAUCAGGUCACACCCUGCCAUGAACCUGCUGGAUAUGGCAGCACAGCCACAGCUGAGAACACCAGUGGUUUUCUAUAAAAAAAAAGAAAAAAAAAAAGAAAAAUAAAACUGACAUAGUUUAGGAAAUGUUGUGAUAGGAAUUAAGAUGGGAACUUCAAAAAAGCAGCCAAACAGUUUCUGACCAGUGAAUACAGAUGUAAAAGCUUUCUGAGAAACUUAAGUAUCGAAUAGCUAAGACAGAACCAAGUAUCAGCACUCAGGAAGAAAUUACUGAAAAUUACUGUAAGAAGGGUAUGAAAUGCCAAAGGCUGCUGAUUAUUUGAAGAAAAAGAACUCAAGCAAGGACAGGGAUAUUUACAUAUUCAAUGGAAGAGUUUAAUAUAAAAUAUAGACUUGAAAGCAGAAUUUAUCCCUCUGCGUAAUGUUUUCUUUCAGCUAUAGGACUGUCUACUUCAAAAGGGAUUGCUACAAAGGAAUCAUUGUUAACUUUCAACUUAACUUUCAGCAUCAAAAGUAUUUUGUGUACCAAUCAAAAAAAAAUCACAAUUCAGCCAUCAUACUUGAGAGCUCAUUUUGGGCUCUUCUACAGAAAAAUUCAGGAAAAGUGGGUGGCUUACUCACCAGGGUGAUGCCAAGACUUGCCUUAUUGCACCCAGCUCCACACAUGGCUCAAACCCUACUGUACCUUUAUGAAAACUGAUGGACACAGAUCUCGCCUUCCUGAGAGCAGAGAUUUGAUUUCACUUUGCAUCCACUUCUCCUUCCUUUGAGCUCUCCAGGGGCAUGUCAGCUCUUUGCUCCUGUUCUUUUCACCCUUCCUUAAAUUUCAACUGAGGGACUUUAGCAAAAGCUAUCUAUUUUAAGCUGGUGGUGUAGAGACCUUUCCAGAGCAAUAAAAAGGUAGGACAGAAUUUUCUCUGUAGGUAGCAGACAGGCAGGGCUCCUUUUUGACUAUUCAUUUUAAUGCUGCCAUGGUUUUGUUGUAGUAUUAAUUAUGCAGGAGAGCGCCCA